UUAAGACUCUUGAGGGGACAGAGUUGACCAGAGAGAUGACUGUGAUGAUUAGCAGGAAGAUGAUUCUAGGAGAUUACAGUGCAAUGAUUCACAAGAACGCAACGGAGCUCAACUGAUCAAUUUGAAAAAAAUCAAAUCUCCGGCUAUGCUGGAAGACCAAUCACCAAAUCCAGGUUAUUUUGCAGAGAGAAAGCUAUUACAAGGAGAUCAGGAAGAAGAUUCCUGUUACACCAGUUUCAGCAGAACUCCCCAUCAACAAUAUCGGAUCAUCCUCAUCGUCUGAUCAGUUUCAUCAUCCUCCACCAUCUUCCAAAUGAUGUCCCAUCUCCCUGGCCUGCCUUCAGCUAGAAUCCCCAUUGACCCUGAUGUUCCUUUUAGUAAUUCUCCAUCUACUGCCCUUGCCUUGCUCUUUGUCUAGAAAUGGUCACACGCAUAGGCUUGGGUUCCACCUCUCUCUCCCACUGCAACACCUCAUAGGACUCCACACCUAUAGUGAUGGCCUCCUCCUGAUUACAGUCUUCUUCACCUCGUUUAACAUCAUGGAUUAUAUUCUGAAGCAGUAAAAAGCAAUUCAAUUAGUCAUUUAUGAGCCAAAGAGUGGGCAUUUGCAUGGUUUCUGUGUUAUGAUCUUUUCAUAAAGAAAGAAUGGGGAAUGCAUGGAUGUUGUCCAUGUCCUAUAGGAAAA
This is a non-coding RNA of Oryctolagus cuniculus (rabbit), 685 nucleotides long. The record is from RefSeq and is a predicted model, not a curated record. Lineage: Eukaryota; Metazoa; Chordata; Mammalia; Lagomorpha; Leporidae.